UAGGGAAUCUUCCACAAUGGACGCAAGUCUGAUGGAGCAACGCCGCGUGAGUGAAGAAGGUCUUCGGAUCGUAAAGCUCUGUUGUAAGAGAAGAACGUGUGUGAGAGUGGAAAAUUCACACAGUGACGGUAACUUACCAGAAAGGGACGGCUAACUACGUGCCAG
This 165-nucleotide ribosomal RNA is filed under the name uncultured bacterium. RNAcentral describes it as "partial 16S rRNA". It matches the Rfam family "Bacterial small subunit ribosomal RNA", at positions 355 to 511 of the family's 1533-position model. The record is from RNAcentral.